This 253-nucleotide ribosomal RNA is filed under the name uncultured bacterium. Its description in RNAcentral is "partial 16S ribosomal RNA". It matches the Rfam family "Bacterial small subunit ribosomal RNA", at positions 524 to 776 of the family's 1533-position model. The record is from RNAcentral.
UACAGAGGGUGCGAGCGUUAAUCGGAAUUACUGGGCGUAAAGGGCGCGUAGGCGGUUGAUUAAGUUAGAUGUGAAAUUCCCGGGCUUAACCUGGGGACUGCAUUUGAUACUGAUUGACUAGAGUAUGGUAGAGGGGAGUGGAAUUUCCGGUGUAGCGGUGAAAUGCGUAGAUAUCGGAAGGAACACCAGUGGCGAAGGCGACUCUCUGGGCCAAUACUGACGCUGAGGCGCGAAAGCGUGGGGAUCAAACAGG